GACGAACCGUGCGAACGUUGCUCGGAAUCACUGGGCGUAAAGGGCGUGUAGGCGGGACGGUAAGUCGGGCGUGAAAUCCCUAGGCUCAACCUAGGAACUGCACUCGAAACUACCAUUCUUGAGUGUCGGAGAGGAAAGCGGAAUUCCUGGUGUAGAGGUGAAAUUCGUAGAUAUCAGGAGGAACACCAGUGGCGAAGGCGGCUUUCUGGACGAUAACUGACGCUGAGACGCGAAAGCGUGGGGAGCAAACAGG
Molecule: ribosomal RNA, 253 nt
Filed under: uncultured bacterium
Lineage: Bacteria
Description: partial 16S ribosomal RNA
Rfam family: Bacterial small subunit ribosomal RNA
Source: RNAcentral